Molecule: ribosomal RNA, 434 nt
Filed under: uncultured bacterium
Lineage: Bacteria
Description: partial 16S ribosomal RNA
Rfam family: Bacterial small subunit ribosomal RNA
Source: RNAcentral
AGCGAACGCUGGCGGCAGGCCUAACACAUGCAAGUCGAACGAACCUUUCUGGGUUCGUUUCUGGCGUGUGGGUACUCCGUUGGAACGUGCCUUUAGGUUCGGAAUAUCUCAGGGAAACUUCUUCUAAUUCCGCAUGUGCACUUCGGGGGAAUGAUUUAUCGCCUUUCAAGCGGCUCGCGUCUGAUUAGCUCGUUUGUUGAGGUAAUGGCUCUCCACGGCGACGAUCAGUAGUUGGUCUGAGAGGAUGAGCAGCCACAUUGGGACUGAGACAAGGCACAAACUCGUAAGAGAGGAAGCAGGGGGGAAUCUUGCGGAAGGGGCGAAAGGUGGACGAAGCCAUGCCGCGUGAAUGAUGAAGGUCUUAGGAGUGAAAAAGUCUUUUGCCGGGGACGAUAAUGACGGUACCGGGAGAAGAAGCCCCGGCUAACUACGUG